AAAACAUUCAUGUUCAUGAGCUUGUGAUUUGUUACCCUUGUUGGUGAACACAGAGCCAAUCUUCUGGGCGUUUCUGGGCGCUGUGUAGGCUCCCCGCAGCACUUGUGUGUGGAAUGAAGGUGCUGGAAGGUGUGGUUCUCACUGGCGAAAUCACGAUGAUUUUACGUGAGAGCUGGGGUCAUACCGUCGUUUUCUGGCGUGUGUAUAUGGGGUGCCAGUGAUUUCUCUCCCCUUGCUGUUUGAGAAGGUUCUAACAUGCGCCUGCUUCACCUCACCACGAUCCCUACCUGAUUGAAAUUCCACAGCCUCGUUCUUGGCCUGUGGGGACAGAACUGAAUCGGUGUUGCAUCACCAGGGUCGAUGCCGUGCUGCACUGGAUCGAUUUGUGUAUGCUAUAAUGACACAGAAGCUGCCGCUGUCAUGGCCAUGUUCCUGGUCCUCUGUAAAGUCUGACCUGCUUUGCUUCUGCAGUUCAUGCAUUGUGUCACUCAAAGCUCCUCUUGACUUGCUGCUGGUGCCCCCAUGCUUUCCGUUGGCCCUGUCGGUGAUGUGGACGAGGGAGCUGCUCAUGUGGUCUGCCUGAACCGAGAGGCAGAACUCGGGCCCUCCGCUUAGACAUCCCACGACCAGAAACCUCUUCCUACCCUCUCAUAUCGACUCGGCUGCUGGUGAUGAGCUCGGGUUGUAUGGUCAUCACUUCCCUGCCAUCCAAUGUGCUGUUCGUAGUGUGAAGGAGCACGCCUGGUUGCAGCAGUAACACCGACGAGCCUGUGUCAAUGAGGGCACCGACCUGUUACCGGCCUACGCUACUGUCCGCAGCGACGGCCUGGCUUCCUGGCUGUAGUAUGGUUGUCUGAGGGUUGUCUGAGGGUUGUCUGAGGGUUGUCUGACGGUUGUCUGAGGGUUGUCUGACGGUUGUCUGAGGGUUGUCUGAGGGUUGUCUGCUGCCCACCCCUCAUCCCUCUCUUCCUCAGCAGAAGUCGCUUGUAGGCUGGCUGGAGCUGGGAGUUGCACAUGCAGUCCCUGCAGCAAAGCCUUCAGGAGGUGUUCUGAUGCUAACUCCUUCUGCACAGCCUUCUCAAACGUUGGGUAUGCCUGCCGAGCCUUCACGAUCAGUUCCACCACCAACACAUUUAUACACCCUCCCUGUAGGCUCUGUCUCUCCAUCAACACCCACCUGACUGAUAUCUGCCCAGAACCUCGUAGGAAAUCUGUGGCCAACGCAGAUAGGUCAUCAUUUUGCUCCAGUGGCAAAGGCAGCAGAGGGCUUUCCCCUGCGUCGCAGUAAUGUGGUUUACCACAUGUUGUGUUACUGAAGUGCAUGUAAAUAUAACGGUCAAAUUACCGAGGGGUUUUUUGGGGGGGGUUUUUUGGUAUUAUUAUUUUUAAAUGAUCCAUGAUCAUUAAUUAAUUGUUCUUUGGUUUGUCCUUUUUCUCUUCAGAGAAAGUUCCAAUACUGACCUUUAUAGGAGUGUAAGGAUCUUUAAAUAUCUGAGGAAUCAGUUUG
Molecule: non-coding RNA, 1507 nt
Organism: Electrophorus electricus (electric eel)
Lineage: Eukaryota; Metazoa; Chordata; Actinopteri; Gymnotiformes; Gymnotidae
Source: RefSeq, a predicted model, not a curated record